AAAAGCAGGGGAUCGCAAGACCUCGCGCUCAUGGAGCGGCCGAUGUCGGAUUAGCUAGUUGGCGGGGUAACGGCCCACCAAGGCGACGAUCCGUAGCUGGUUUGAGAGGAUGAUCAGCCACACUGGGACUGAGACACGGCCCAGACUCCUACGGGAGGCAGCAGUGGGGAAUUUUGGACAAUGGGGGCAACCCUGAUCCAGCCAUGCCGCGUGAGUGAAGAAGGCCUUCGGGUUGUAAAGCUCUUUCGGCCGGAACGAAAUCGGGCGCGUGAAUAACGCGCCUGGAUGACGGUACUGGAAGAAGAAGCACCGGCUAACUACGUGCCAGCAGCCGCGGUAAUACGUAGGGUGCGAGCGUUAAUCGGAAUUACUGGGCGUAAAGCGUGCGUAGGCGGUUUCGCAAGUCAGAUGUGAAAUCCCCGGGCUUAACCUGGGAACUGCGUUUGAAACUACAAAGC
RNAcentral lists this ribosomal RNA (458 nucleotides) under uncultured beta proteobacterium. Its description in RNAcentral is "bacterial SSU rRNA". It matches the Rfam family "Bacterial small subunit ribosomal RNA", at positions 202 to 641 of the family's 1533-position model. Lineage: Bacteria; Pseudomonadati; Pseudomonadota; Betaproteobacteria. The record is from RNAcentral.